UGACCUCAGAUCAGACAAG
This 19-nucleotide ribosomal RNA is filed under the name Arthrobotrys musiformis. RNAcentral describes it as "partial 28S ribosomal RNA". Lineage: Eukaryota; Fungi; Ascomycota; Orbiliomycetes; Orbiliales; Orbiliaceae. RNAcentral also lists the same sequence under 1 other name. The record is from RNAcentral.